GACGAACGCUGGUGGCGUGCUUAACACAUGCAAGUCGAACGGAAAGGCUCUGCUUGCAGGGUGCUCGAGUGGCGAACGGGUGAGUAACACGUGGGUGAUCUGCCCCUUACUUUGGGAUAAGCCUGGGAAACUGGGUCUAAUACUGGAUAGGACCAUGCUGUAGGUGGUGUGGUGGAAAGAUUAGUUUCGGUAAGGGAUGAGCUCGCGGCCUAUCAGCUUGUUGGUGGGGUAAUGGCCUACCAAGGCGUCGACGGGUAGCCGGCCUGAGAGGGUGGACGGCCACAUUGGGACUGAGAUACGGCCCAGACUCCUACGGGAGGCAGCAGUGGGGAAUAUUGCACAAUGGGCGCAAGCCUGAUGCAGCGACGCCGCGUGGGGGAUGACGGCCUUCGGGUUGUAAACUCCUUUCAGCCAUGACGAAGCCCUUGUGGUGACGGUAGUGGUAGAAGAAGCACCGGCUAACUACAUG
Molecule: ribosomal RNA, 469 nt
Filed under: uncultured bacterium
Lineage: Bacteria
Description: partial 16S ribosomal RNA
Rfam family: Bacterial small subunit ribosomal RNA
Source: RNAcentral